UGAGCAAUCUGCCCUUCUCUUUAGGAAUAAGCGUGGGAAACCGCGUCUAAUGCCGAAUACGACCUCCUUUCGCAUGAUCGGAGGUGGAAAGCUCCGGCGGAGAAGGAUGAGCUCGCGGCCUAUCAGCUAGUUGGUGUGGGUAAUGGCCCACCAAGGCGACGACGGGUAGCCGGCCUGAGAGGGUGACCGGCCACACUGGGACUGAGACACGGCCCAGACUCCUACGGGAGG
This 231-nucleotide ribosomal RNA is filed under the name uncultured bacterium. RNAcentral describes it as "partial 16S ribosomal RNA". It matches the Rfam family "Bacterial small subunit ribosomal RNA", at positions 118 to 348 of the family's 1533-position model. The record is from RNAcentral.